This 421-nucleotide long non-coding RNA is filed under the name Nicotiana benthamiana. RNAcentral describes it as "long non-coding RNA (NBEN_LNC022305)". Lineage: Eukaryota; Viridiplantae; Streptophyta; Magnoliopsida; Solanales; Solanaceae. The record is from RNAcentral.
AUGUUGCUCAGACCGAGCCUACAGGUAACCAGGGAUUUUCUGUAUCUUAAAGGGAGUAUAAUGAGUUCCUUAAAUAUCGAGCAAGUAAGCAGACGUCUCCACAAAUAGCCACUGUUGCUCAGUCUGAUACUUCUGUUGCUGGUAAUUCUUUUGCUUGUGUUUCCCAGUCUAGUCCUCUUGAACAAUGGGUUGUGGACUCAGCUGCUUCUGAUCAUAUCUCUGNNNNGUCUGAUACUUCUGUUGCUGGUAAUUCUUUUGCUUGUGUUUCCCAGUCUAGUCCUCUUGAACAAUGGGUUGUGGACUCAGCUGCUUCUGAACAUAUCUCUGGUAAUAAAUCCCUUUUGUCAAAUAUUGCAUAUUCACAGUUUCUUCCCAACAUUACUUUAGCUAAUGGGUCUCAAACUAAAGCAAAAGGAGUUNN